AAUCUAAUUAUAAAUUUUAUAACGAUAAACUAAAAUUGAUUAAGGGUAAAAUUUAAUAGUAGAGGUUUGAAUUUAUCAUAAUAAAGAUAUUAAUUAAAACAAGGAUUAGAUACCCUUUUAUUUUUAUUCAAUAUAUAAAUUGGAGAGUACGAGCAAUAGCUUAAAAACUAAAGAAUAUGGCGGUGUUUUAUUCGAUCAGGGUGACAUGUAUCUUAAUUUGAUAGUCCACGGUUUUUAAGCCUGACUUUGAAAUUCAGCAUGUGUACUGCCGUUUUAUAUAGUUUUAAAAAAUUGUGUAUAAUAUAUGAAUCUUUCAUAUAGUUAGUCAGGUCAAAGCGCAGUCUAUAGUCAGGUGAGAUUGUGUUACAUUUAUUUAAACAUUCAAUUUAUUGAUUUAAAUUUUAAUAAAAAGAAGAACUUGAUAGUAAUUAAAUUGAUUAAAUUUAAUGAAAAGGAUUUUAACGCGUACAAAUCGCCCGUCACUCCUUUAUAAAGG
RNAcentral lists this ribosomal RNA (496 nucleotides) under Hirudo verbana. RNAcentral describes it as "partial 12S ribosomal RNA". The record is from RNAcentral. Lineage: Eukaryota; Metazoa; Annelida; Clitellata; Hirudinida; Hirudinidae.